UCCUCGGUGGCGCAAUUGGCUAGCGCGUCGUAAGUUACCUUUUACACCCAGUAGCAAUAGCAUCUAACCCGUCCCAUAGUGACUGUUAAUCAGGAGGUUGAAAGUUCGAGCCUUUCCCGAGGAG
Molecule: non-coding RNA, 124 nt
Organism: Thozetella sp. PMI_491
Lineage: Eukaryota; Fungi; Ascomycota; Sordariomycetes; Chaetosphaeriales; Chaetosphaeriaceae
Source: the annotation of a GenBank genome assembly